Molecule: transfer RNA, 525 nt
Filed under: uncultured Prochlorococcus sp.
Lineage: Bacteria; Bacillati; Cyanobacteriota; Cyanophyceae; Synechococcales; Prochlorococcaceae
Description: partial 16S-23S ribosomal RNA intergenic spacer
Rfam family: tRNA (bases 209-281)
Source: RNAcentral
CAGGGAGACAACAAAAUGUUUAAUAUUAUUUUGUCACCUUAGGUCGAUCGGUAUCUCACGUUCUUAAUUCAUUAAGAAUUUCAUUUCCUAAGUUUUUCUAGGUCACACCCAUCAUUUUUCCUGGGCCAUUAGCUCAGGUGGUUAGAGCGCACCCCUGAUAAGGGUGAGGUCCCUGGUUCAAGUCCAGGAUGGCCCAUAUCUCUAUGUUGGGGGUAUAGCUCAGUUGGUAGAGCGCCUGCUUUGCAAGCAGGAUGUCAGCGGUUCGAGUCCGCUUACCUCCACUGAUUACCACCUCUUCCAUAAUUUUUAGUAGGAAAAAUUUUUUGAGUUGUGAUCCUAUUUCUGAACGAAUCUAGCUUCCUAAUGAAAUCAUUAAGAUGCUGGACUCAUUGAAUUAAUUUCAUUGUUUUCAGAGAACCUUGACAACUGCAUAGAUUAUUUUUAAAGACAAUAAGCAUCUUUAAUGAUGCAGAUUUAUUAUUUGUGCAAAUGCAUUAAUAACAAUUCUAUUAAGCUGAUGCUUCA